Molecule: ribosomal RNA, 843 nt
Filed under: Trimyema foissneri
Lineage: Eukaryota; Ciliophora; Litostomatea; Vestibuliferida; Trimyemidae
Description: SSU rRNA
Rfam family: Eukaryotic small subunit ribosomal RNA
Source: RNAcentral
UUACUUGAUAAUUGAAUUCUACAAGGAUAACCGUAGUAAUUCUAGAGCUAAUACUUGCUGUUAAACCUGACUUUCGGGAAAGGUUGUAUUUAUUAGAUAGCAAACCAAUAGUCCGCAAGGAUUGUUGUGAUGAUUCAUAAUAACUGAUCGGAGCUGAACGACGUUCAGCUAAAUCAUUCAAGUUUCUGCCCUAUCACCUAGAUGGUAGUGUAUUUGACUACCAUGGGAAUAACGGGUACGCGGAAUUAGGGUUUGAUUUGCGGAGAGGGAGCCUGAGAAACGGCUACCACUUCUAAGGAAGGCAGCAGGCGCGCAAAUUACCCAAUCCCAAUUCGGGGAGGUAGUGACAAGAAAUAAUGACUCGGGGUCUCACGACUUACGGGAUCAAAAUGAGAACAAUUUAAAAAACUUAACGAGGAACAAUUGGAGGGCAAGUUCUGGUGCCAGCAGCCGCGGUAAUUCCAGCUCCAAUAGCGUAUAUUAAAGUUGUUGCAGUUAAAAAGCUCGUAGUCGAUAUUCUAGGUGGCCUCGGUGCGGCCCUGCUGCGCGGAGACCAUCUAUCAGCUCGAAAACUUAGUCGGCCUUCACUGGUUCGACUUUGCAGAUCGGGCAAUUUACUGAGAAAAAAUUAGAGUGUUCAAAGCAGGCUAUUGUCUUGAAUACACAAGCUUGGAAUAAUAGAAUAAGACUAAAAUCUUUUUUUGUUGGUUAUAAGAUUUAGUAAUGGUUAAUAGAAACAGUUGGGGGCAUUAGUAUUUAAUUGUCAGAGGUGAAAUUCUUGGAUUUAUUAAAGACUAACUUAUGCGAAAGCAUUUGCCAAGGAUGUUUUCAAUUGAUCAAGAA